Molecule: ribosomal RNA, 753 nt
Filed under: Pandoraea pnomenusa
Lineage: Bacteria; Pseudomonadati; Pseudomonadota; Betaproteobacteria; Burkholderiales; Burkholderiaceae
Description: bacterial SSU rRNA
Rfam family: Bacterial small subunit ribosomal RNA
Source: RNAcentral
GGUACAGAUUAGCUAGUUGGUGAGGUAAAAGCUCACCAAGGCGACGAUCUGUAGCUGGUCUGAGAGGACGACCAGCCACACUGGAACUGAAACACGGCCCAGACUACUACGGGAGGCAGCAGUGGGGAAUUUUGGACAAUGGGCGAAAGCCUGAUCCAGCAAUGCCGCGUGUGUGAAGAAGGCCUUCGGGUUGUAAAGCACUUUUGUCCGGAAAGAAAUCCUCUGGGUUAAUACCUCGGGGGGAUGACGGUACCGGAAGAAUAAGCACCGGCUAACUACGUGCCAGCAGACGCGGGUAAUACGUAGGGUGCAAGCGUUAAUCGGAAUUACUGGGCGUAAAGCGUGCGCAGGCGGUUUUGUAAGACGGAUGUGAAAUCCCCGGGCUUAACCUGGGAACUGCAUUCGUGACUGCAAGGCUAGAGUAUGGCAGAGGGGGGGUAGAAUUCCACGUGUAGCAGUGAAAUGCGUAGAGAUGUGGGAGGAAUACCGAUGGCGAAGGCAGCCCCCUGGGCCAAUACUGACGCUCAUGCACGAAAGCGUGGGGAGCAAACAGGAUUAGAUACCCUGGUAGUCCACGCCCUAAACGAUGUCAACUAGUUGUUGGGGAUUCAUUUCCUUAGUAACGUAGCUAACGCGUGAAGUUGACCGCCUGGGGAGUACGGUCGCAAGAUUAAAACUCAAAGGAAUUGACGGGGACCCGCACAGCGGUGGAUGAUGUGGAUUAAUUCGAUGCAACGCGAAAACCUUACUACC